This 73-nucleotide transfer RNA is filed under the name Camelus bactrianus (Bactrian camel). It matches the Rfam family "tRNA". Rfam says of the family: Transfer RNA (tRNA) molecules are approximately 80 nucleotides in length. RNAcentral also lists the same sequence under 2 other names. The record is from Rfam by way of RNAcentral. Lineage: Eukaryota; Metazoa; Chordata; Mammalia; Artiodactyla; Camelidae.
GAGGGUAUAGCUCAGGCUAUAGAGCACAUACUUAGUAUGCAUGAGGUCCUGGGUUCGAUCCCCAGUAUCUCCA